GGGGAUAAAGGUAAGAGCAAUACAGUAGGAAUGUGGAGACUGGCUCUACCAUGAAAUUUACCAUGUGAAAGUGCACAUCAAGUGAUGAACUUCUUCAUGCCUCAGUUUUCUCAUUUACUGUGAAAUGUUUGGAUUGGACUAUAUAACCUCUAGAUCCCUUCUAUCUAUGAAAGGCUAUAAUUCAGUAUUAUGAAGGCUGUAUGCUCAAGUCCUUGGAAACUGAAUGGGUCAUACUCACUUCUAUUUAUAAUUUGGUUUUUAUCUUUGCACUCAAUGCUCUUUGGAGAAAUGUAGAUUUCCAUUCCUAAAUUUUUCUAACCAACAAAGGAAAAGCUCUAUUUUAGUUUGUUUGACAAAGAAACGUCUAUAACUAGAUUGAGUUUCCCAUAUAAUAUUUGCUUUGCCUUCUUCCAUCUUUGCCUAAAAAAGGAGUUUCUAAAAAACCAGAAAUGCUUUCUGUACUCAGGCAUAGCAGGAAUGAGGCUGCCUUGGCUGAAGGAAGAAGAUGGUGCAUAUCUGGAGCCCCAGUGGAGCAGGACUAUUUGCCAUCUGCUGCACUAGUUGCCUCGUCUCCAUAUCAGGCCUGGUCUGUAGUUUGCUGCAAAUACUAGGAGCCGAGCCACUUCCCACCCAUGGCAAGCCUUGAACCCUUUGUAUUCUGGCUGCCAAGAUGAUCUGAAAGCAGGGAGCCACUUUUCAGCUUAGGGAAAAACAUGUGCAUUAAAUGGAAGUAGAUUCUUCUUUUCCCUCCCUCUUGCCACUCCCAGCCAUUUUUAAAGCUUUAUACUAAAAAGGAGGAAGAUCCGUCUGACAAAGCUGAGGAAGAUGAUGGAAUUGCCAGGCCAGAAUGGUUUAUUAAUGAUCCAUGGGAAAAAAAACAAUUGUCCUGCUGGCAGCUUCACAUGUAAUUAACCAGCUUCACAGAGAGCUGGCUGCCUUCUCCAGGCCUGGCAUCCGCAUACUGCAGAGCUACCUGACACAGCAACACUGGGUUUCUAACAAAAUCUCGCUACUGGGAGAGGGGCAUCUAAAAUAGUGACCUCAACCCACUCGGCGCUCAGGAAACAAGACUGAGAUGGCAGUGCUCCUCCGGAGAAGGCUGGCUGUGUGCUCGGGCUGACACAAAGACUGCGACCUCCAUGCUGGCAACAACCAGCCCUGGGAACUGCCACUCCCACUGCUCACCAUUAACUGCCCACUCAGAGAACACUCACCAAAGCUCAAGAAGCAGUGACUAUUCAGGAUGAUUACAGAGUUUCAGCUUGCUUUUCAAGUGGCUCGGAAUAAAGAUGCCUGGAUCUAGAUCUUACUAUCAUACAGCUUUAUUUGUAAAGAAGAAAAUAUGUAAGUAAACACCAUUUGUAGUUACUGUAUGAAAAAAAUCCUCAUUGAUUCUUUUAGAAAAUACACUUAUGUAAUAUAUUACAACUAGAUCUUCCUAAGUUAACCAAGUAUUGUAGUUUUAAUUUUGUGAAGCAGGUGUGUAUAUAUUUUACAUUAUUUAUACAUUUAGUAACAAUCAGGAUAAAAUGCUAGGGCUGUGGAAAAACAUACAGUGGACCCACAUACGAGUGAAUUUACACUGUCCAAAAUGAUAGGGCUGUAUUUAAUUAAUGCCCUCUCUUGGCAGGAAGAAGGAAAGCUGACUUUGUUAGGGUUUGAGGCACCCUCUGCCAGAGAUGUGCCUACACCUCCCAAGUCCAGGUGGAGAGGAAUGGACACAUUUGGUACUAAAAAAUUCUUCUCCCAAGACCAAACUUCUCUUGGGAUUCCCCUAAGCUUUAUCCCAGGAUGUUUCUGGGCAGCUGGCAGAAUAGUAUUGAAACUCACAGAAGUUGAGUUUUCAUUUCAAUUUCACUGUAGCACUGCAGCACCUGAUAUAAUCCCUUAAAGACUCUCAGUCUGGUCCUAAUCUCUCUCCUAAAAUACAACACAGGGAAGAUCUGAAUAUAGAUUGCAACCUGGUCCAUUUGUUCUUCCUACAUCAACACAAAGGAAUCAUGGUGGAUAC
This 2011-nucleotide long non-coding RNA is filed under the name Homo sapiens (human). Its description in RNAcentral is "HSALNT0343243". The record is from RNAcentral. Lineage: Eukaryota; Metazoa; Chordata; Mammalia; Primates; Hominidae.